UGAUCCUGGAGUCCCCGCAAUCCUUCUCGAAACUCCUGAACAGUUUGCCAGAGUUGAACAGUUGCCACAAAUUCAGUUCCUUUCAAGUUACCGGAGCAGUGAGGAUCAAGUUGCUAUUCAGUCAAGAGGAUCCAGGUCUAAGGAGAUCCUCGAUCCAGUUAUUAGGAGAUCUGGCAACAUCCCUUGGCCAGGAGACCAAUUUUGAGGCAUUCAAGGAUCGAGUGAGAUCCAAGGGAACCUCAUCACUUUACUCUUGCAUCUAUGCAAUCCAGACGUGUAUGUUGUCAAGGCCUGUAAAAGUACGAUCCAGAAGGUUGGCCCUUAUCUAGAUUAUCCGGAGGUAAACCGCAUGAUCCAGGAGUGUUUGGGCGACGACACCGACUUGAUGUUCAUGGAUUUUAUUAAGGAAUUAAUUAAACGCAUAGAUUUAUGGAAUCAAUGAUAUCAAGGUUAUUUGGGGAUCAAAUCGAGGACGAGUUGGUUUAAAGGUGGUGUCUAAGGGCCAAUCCCGCCCUUGUCAUCGGUUUGUUCUACACCGAACUACUACCCGAGAAUAAACCGAAAGUUUCACUAGAAUCUGUCUGUGAUAAACUGAUCAGACUGAUGCAAGACGAGUCAG
Anthonomus grandis grandis is the source of this 619-nucleotide long non-coding RNA. RefSeq lists it as uncharacterized. The transcript has 3 exons. The record is from RefSeq and is a predicted model, not a curated record. NCBI's taxonomy places the organism in Eukaryota, Metazoa, Arthropoda, Insecta, Coleoptera, Curculionidae.